This 286-nucleotide ribosomal RNA is filed under the name uncultured Anaerolineaceae bacterium. RNAcentral describes it as "partial 16S ribosomal RNA". It matches the Rfam family "Bacterial small subunit ribosomal RNA", at positions 1082 to 1382 of the family's 1533-position model. The record is from RNAcentral. Lineage: Bacteria; Bacillati; Chloroflexota; Anaerolineae; Anaerolineales; Anaerolineaceae.
AAGUCCGCUAACGAGCGCAACCCUCGCUGUGUGUUAUAUGUGUCACACAGGACUGCUGGUAUUAAGCCGGAGGAAGGUGGGGACGACGUCAAGUCAGCAUGACCUUUAUAUCCAGGGCUACACACACGCUACAAUGGUCAGUACAAUGGGUUGCCAAGCCGCGAGGCGGAGCCAAUCCUAAAAGCUGGCCUCAGUUCAGAUUGCAGUCUGAAACUCGACUGCAUGAAGUCGGAGUUGCUAGUAAACGCAGGUCAGCUAUACUGCGUUGAAUACGUUCCCGGGGCUU